UAUUUAUUAUUUUUCCAUGCGUGAGUCACAGAGAGGAAGACAGAGAUCCAACACCCAACAGAGCUUUGGCACUCCCAUCGAUCCACUCCCAGCCUCUGCCAGCCUGGAUCAUGAGUGCAGUGUGCCAAGCGCUCAGGGAGUUCUCCAAAGCCCCCUCUGCUCUGCCAUGAACGCUCUGAAACAGAGAUUAUUUUUCUCUCCCUGAAAAUAUCUGACGACUGCUUAUCACUUACGAAGCAAGUCUGAGCAACCGAGCUCGUCUCCAAAGCCUUCUUCCCACAGUCCCUGCCCCUCUCUCCUGCGCACUACCUCCCCGCGGUGCGUAAGUCACCGCGAACAUUCCGGAACGCUCCGCAGACUCUGCCCGACUCCCGCCCUCCCUGCGACUCCCGUCUUUGGUCCGCUCUGCGCACUCUGGCCCUGUUUUACACGAUAGCUGUCUGCCCUGUUGCAGGCAAAGGAUCCGGAGGACGGAGGCCUAGGAGCGAAGAGCCGGGUCAGGUCCCCGGGAUAAAAGGGGAAAAGCGACAGCCGACCUGUGAUUCACAAGAGCAAGAGGCUGUAAGGAUCGCACCUCCUGAUUGGAGCAGACAGAAUCAGACAAGUUUGCGGGCUGCUCAUUGGCUCUGGCGCGGUCAGGCGCUGUUGGGCUGUUGUAAAUGUAAAUAGCUCUCGCGGGCCCCGGGUCUGUGACCGACAGUAACCCCGGGGAGUGGGGGUGGAGAGGGAGGCCGCUCCUCUCCAUUCAUGUCUGCUGCCAGCCAGGCCCAGACAGGCAGGCCCUUUCGCAGAGGGGGCUGGGCAGGACGAGGCGGAGGGCUGCGUCUCCCGACUUGUGAAGCUUGAGCUGAGAGCAAAACGCCCACCGCAGGUCUGAGCCGAGGCUUCCUUUCUGCGCCCAGCUGUGACUGCUAAGACUUCACGCCAUGUUCGUGUGAGGACGGGUGUGCUGCAGGUCGCGAGGACGGUGGCUGUCGUAGGUGUGCCCUAGUGACCACAGGGAGGUGCAGCCUGUCCUUGGCUGCUCCUGAUCACAGUAACCUAUUUGUGGAAAAGGCAACAGUGGGCGGUUGGCCUGAUAAUAGCCUUCCUACUAGAGGGAGAAGCUGCUCCCACCCUCUGCUCCAGGGGAAAGGGACGCUGGGGAAACUGACUUUCUUGGAAAUAAAAAGAGGAAAGGGACAAAUGGGUACAUGGUGAGAAUCAAGGACUGGUGGAAAUGUAAAAUGGUGUAGCCAGUGUGGAAAAAGUUGGGUAGUUGCACACACACAAAAUGAAACAUGGAAUUACCCCAUGGCCCAGCAGCUGUGCUCCUAGGUGACACUCAGGUGAACUGAAAGCAAGCGUUCUAGUCACAGUAGCCCAAGAGGGGAAACAGCUCGAGUGUUCAUCAAUUCUUGGAUCAAUAAAGCAGUGUGAUACAGAAAGCAGUGGAAUAUGAACCAGCUAUAAAAAGGAAUGCAGCACUGGGGAACCAGCACUUAGCGUAAUGGCUA
Molecule: long non-coding RNA, 1496 nt
Organism: Tupaia belangeri chinensis (Chinese tree shrew)
Lineage: Eukaryota; Metazoa; Chordata; Mammalia; Scandentia; Tupaiidae
Exons: 3
Source: RefSeq, a predicted model, not a curated record